RNAcentral lists this ribosomal RNA (280 nucleotides) under uncultured bacterium. Its description in RNAcentral is "partial 16S ribosomal RNA". It matches the Rfam family "Bacterial small subunit ribosomal RNA", at positions 506 to 784 of the family's 1533-position model. The record is from RNAcentral.
UGCCAGCCGCCGCGGUAAUACGAAGGGACCUAGCGUAGUUCGGAAUUACUGGGCGUAAAUGGCGUGUAGGUUGUGCUUCGCUGUUAUCGGUUAAAUUCCCAUCGAUAUGGUGGGUAAGGCUGAUAGAACGGUUGUACUAGAGAGUGAGAGAGGAUACGGGAAUUUCGAGUGGAGAAGUUAAAUUCUUGGAUAUUCGAAGGAAGGCCAACUGCGAAGGCACAUAUCUGGCUCAUUUCUGACACUGAGGCGCGAAGGCGUGGGGAGCGAAGCCGAUAAGAUA